GUUUGUCUUGGAUUCAGCAGGUAUGGGUUUUCCUCAAGUGAGCAUAUCAUUCUAAUGAUUUUUUUAGUUUUUCUUAUCAUGCAAAUAUCCUUAGCUUGUGAAGCCAUCACUCAGUAGAAUUGCUAAUGACCUAAUGUAUGACCUCAUUGUAGUGAAUUAAAUGAGAGAUUAUUGUCUUUCUUUAAGCCAGAUUGUAUCUUUGGGCUGGAUAGGGCCGGGGAAUCUGUACUCCCUUAGGCCCUGUGGUAAGCAAUUGCAUGCCCCAACACAGAAUGCCGUUAGCCAUUAAAUCUUGAAUGCAUGUGGGAUCUGGUGUGAUGUUGUGGACAAGUAGGCAGAACCAUGCGGUUAGAGCUUGUGUGGCAGCAUGGUGGAGAUGUGUUAUAUAUA
This 390-nucleotide unclassified non-coding RNA is filed under the name Hevea brasiliensis (rubber tree). The record is from RNAcentral. Lineage: Eukaryota; Viridiplantae; Streptophyta; Magnoliopsida; Malpighiales; Euphorbiaceae.